AGUGAACGCUGGCGGUAGGCCUAACACAUGCAGGUCGAACGGCAGCACAGUAAGAGCUUGCUCUUACGGGUGGCGAGUGGCGGACGGGUGAGGAAUACAUCGGAAUCUACUUUUUCGUGGGGGAUAACGUAGGGAAACUUACGCUAGUACCGCAUACGACCUACGGGUGAAAGCAGGGGAUCUUCGGACCUUGCGCGAUUGAAUGAGCCGAUGUCGGAUUAGCUAGUUGGCGGGGUAAAGGCCCACCAAGGCGACGAUCCGUAGCUGGUCUGAGAGGAUGAUCAGCCACACUGGAACUGAGACACGGUCCAGACUCCUACGGGAGGCAGCAGUGGGGAAUAUUGGACAAUGGGCGCAAGCCUGAUCCAGCCAUACCGCGUGGGUGAAGAAGGCCUUCGGGUUGUAAAGCCCUUUUGUUGGGAAAGAAAAGCAGCAGGUUAAUACCCCGCUGUUCUGACGGUACCCAAAGAAUAAGCACCGGCUAACUUCGUG
RNAcentral lists this ribosomal RNA (492 nucleotides) under uncultured bacterium. RNAcentral's name for it is "partial 16S ribosomal RNA". It matches the Rfam family "Bacterial small subunit ribosomal RNA", at positions 29 to 507 of the family's 1533-position model. The record is from RNAcentral.